Molecule: ribosomal RNA, 253 nt
Filed under: uncultured bacterium
Lineage: Bacteria
Description: partial 16S ribosomal RNA
Rfam family: Bacterial small subunit ribosomal RNA
Source: RNAcentral
UACGUAGGGGGCAAGCGUUGUCCGGAAUCAUUGGGCGUAAAGCGCGCGUAGGCGGCCCGGUAAGUCCGCUCUGAAAGUCCAGGGCUCAACCCUGGAAAGCGGGUGGAUACUGCCGGGCUAGAAUCCGGAAGAGGCGAGUGGAAUUCCUGGUGUAGCGGUGGAAUGCGCAGAUAUCAGGAGGAACACCUGCGGCGAAGGCGGGUUGCUGGGCCGACACUGACGCUGAGGCGCGAAAGCUAGGGGAGCGAACGGG